GCCAAGUCUUUGAAAGUAACAGGUGCCUGCCGUCUCCAACAUCAGGAUACUCACUCUCGAUCUAUCACGAGGCACGCAACAUCAUUUUCUUCAGCAAUGAUAUUGGCUGAUCUGACGUCAUCACUGUAGAUGAAAAAGCCAGGAGAGAAGAGUUCUCCUCCAUCAAAGGAGAAUUACUAACAAACAAGGAGGCAGCACAGAAACUGAUAGAGAAAUGUCCUGGGAAAUGGCCAAAAGUCUUUACUAUGGAGAAGCACCAUUUCACAGUGGCAAUGACUAAGACCCUUAAGGAAGACCACAACCAUGCAACCCGAUGUGUCUUCACUCUGUAACAAACUAAUACACCAGUCUCUUCAGUAAAGCGGCACUGUCCUACCAGAUGGACUGUGGCUGAGGAUCUGCUUUCUAUGCCUCUUGUCCUCAUUCCAACUUCAGUUCCCAUCACCCAAAAGGAGCAGAAAUGACAAAUUUCUAAAGGGCUACCAGACUGUUCUUGAGCUAUUACAAAACCUCUUAUAUGUAGAGAGGUAUGGUUUUCAUUCCUGCCAACCAGCUAAGUUCAAAGGAGACAAGCUUGAAAAGGGACAUUGAGAAAGAGCCUUAUUAUUUCUUAAAGGGCAGCUUCCCCAGUGGAGCCAUCCCAGGGAUGAUUCUUUGUCACCCCAAACCAUGGAAAGAAGGCAAAUAAUACCGCCCAGUGUGUCGACAGUAACUCAUAGAUCAGAAAAGGCUGUGGAAAUAGGUCAGACCAAAAAUAUAUGGUGGUGAUGCUAGACUGGCCAGGAUUUGUCAACCAGGGAAUGCAGCCAGGCGGGCCAGGGCAGCCACCGCAACCAAAAGGAGCAGGGCAAACAAUGUGGUGACUGUCCUGUGGUUCCAUCGCGGAGGGCCCCUUGGAAGACCUAGAAGCCAUGGGCUCUGUCCUGUGCAUCUUCCCUCUGACCCACAAUAAGAAUUUCACCUUACAUGUUUGCUGGAUAUACCCGUAAAAGCACAUAAAAUCCAAACAGUCUUUGAAACCAUGCCUACACUUGCCACUUGGAUU
Molecule: long non-coding RNA, 1045 nt
Organism: Meriones unguiculatus (Mongolian gerbil)
Lineage: Eukaryota; Metazoa; Chordata; Mammalia; Rodentia; Muridae
Exons: 3
Source: RefSeq, a predicted model, not a curated record